This 1315-nucleotide ribosomal RNA is filed under the name Sphaerius sp. BT0074. Its description in RNAcentral is "large subunit ribosomal RNA". The stretch from base 1068 to 1226 matches the Rfam family "Bacterial large subunit ribosomal RNA", at positions 2473 to 2632 of the family's 2925-position model. Lineage: Eukaryota; Metazoa; Arthropoda; Insecta; Coleoptera; Sphaeriusidae. The record is from RNAcentral.
AUAAGUAUAAAAUUAUUUAAAAUUUAGUUUAAAAAGUUUAAUAAAAAUAUUUUUAAUUAUUAUGUUUUAGUAAUUUAUAAUGAAAAAAUUAUUUUAAUUAUAGUAUAUUAGUAUUGUAAAAGAAUUUUGAAAUAAAUAUAAUUUAUAUAAAAGUAUAAUUAAUUUUUAGUACCUUGUGUAUCAGGGUUGAUUAAUUUAAAAUUAUUUAUAUUAAUUUUCUCGAAUUUAAAGGAGUUAAUUAGUUAUUUUAGUUAUUGUAAUAAAAAUAUUAAUAAUAAUUAAUUUGUAAUGAAAUGUUAUUCGUCUUUAAAAAUAUCUAGUUUUUUUAGAAAUAAAUUAAAUUUAGUUAUUUUUUUUUAUAAUUUAAUAUUUAUUUAUUAAAUUAAAAUUAAAUAAUAAUAUUUAAAGGGAUAAGCUUUUAAAUAAAUUUCAAUAAUAAUUGUAAAAAUUAUAAAAAUUAUAAGUUUAGAAUUAACUAUUAAUAAAAGUUUGUUAUAAAAAAUUUUAUUUAAAAUAUAAUUUUUAAUUUAUUUUGUUUAUUUAUAAAAAUUAUUUUUUUAAUAAUAAAAAAUAUGUAAUAAUGAUUAAAUUAGUAAAUAAAAAUUGUUUGAAUAAAUUUAUUUGAUAGUUAAUUUUAAGGAAUUCGGCAAAAUUUUUAUUCGCCUGUUUAAUAAAAACAUGUCUUUUUGAAUAUAAUUUAAAGUCUAACCUGCCCAAUGAUGAUUUUAAUGGCUGCAGUAAUUUGACUGUACAAAGGUAGCAUAAUCAUUAGUUUUUUAAUUGAAAGCUUGUAUGAAUGGUUGAACGAGAUAAAUACUGUCUCAAAAUUAAUUUAAUUGAAUUUAAUUUUUAAGUUAAAAAGCUUAAAUAUUAUUAAAAGACGAGAAGACCCUAUAAAGCUUUAUUUAUAUUUAGUAUUAUUUAUUUUUAGAAUUAUUAAAUUUAUAAUAUUAUAAUAAAUUUUAUUGGGGUGAUAAAAAAAUUUAAUAAACUUUUUUUAAAAAUAUAUAAAAAUUAUUAUAUUAAAUGAUCCAAAAUUUUUGAUUAAAAGAAUAAGUUACUUUAGGGAUAACAGCGUAAUUUUUUUAAAGAGUUCAAAUCGAAAAAAAAGAUUGCGACCUCGAUGUUGGAUUAAAGAUUAUUUUUGGUGUAGAAGUUAAAAAUUUAAGUCUGUUCGACUUUUAAAUCUUUACAUGAUCUGAGUUUAAACCGAUGUAAGUCAGGUUGGUUUCUAUCUUUAAUAAAAUAUAAUAUUUUAGUACGAAAGGACCAAAUAUUAAAUAUAAUAUUUUUUUGUAUGAAUAUUAUUAAUUUU